This 72-nucleotide transfer RNA is filed under the name Bos taurus (domestic cattle). It matches the Rfam family "tRNA". Rfam says of the family: Transfer RNA (tRNA) molecules are approximately 80 nucleotides in length. The record is from Rfam by way of RNAcentral. Lineage: Eukaryota; Metazoa; Chordata; Mammalia; Artiodactyla; Bovidae. RNAcentral also lists the same sequence under 5 other names.
UCCUGUGUAGCUCAGUCGGUAAAGCAUCUGCCUGCAAUGCGGGAGAUCUGGGUGCAAUUCCUGGGUCGGGAA